This is a non-coding RNA of Bactrocera oleae (olive fruit fly), 1634 nucleotides long. The record is from RefSeq and is a predicted model, not a curated record. NCBI's taxonomy places the organism in Eukaryota, Metazoa, Arthropoda, Insecta, Diptera, Tephritidae.
ACUAAAUUGCAAUUUACGCAACAAACAUGUUGCCUCCUUAAAAUUUGUGUGGGAAUGAAAGCAGCACUGUCAAACCUUCAAAAUGAGAGUUCAUUGCUAGCAAUGGAUGACAUGAAAUAUAAAUAUAUCAGUUGGCAAACGUUAGCAAUCCAUUGGCAAUAUUGCUUGCGAUACAAAUUUUCGCAAUCUUAAAUUGCCUGCCGAGAUGCCCCGUAAGAAGUUUUCGCUCAAUUUUGUUUAGAUGAACUUUGUGACAGUAUACAGUGUUGACAAUUAGUUUACAAAUGGAAAGUACAAUAGAUGGCGGAAAUACAAAAGUUUUUGCUAAAGCAGUGCAAUCACUUUCAAAGUUCGGCGGAGACUUAUUUAUUGAAGCUGAUAUUGAUGGAAUGCAGCUCCGCACUCUAAAUCCAACUAAAUCUGCUGUUGGGACAUAUCGCUUUAGUAGAAGCUUCUUCGAUUUUUACGAGGUCGACCAAAAUGAAGAAAGUUUUUGUAAACUGGAUAUGAGGGCUUGUCUUACUGUAUUUCGAAAUACAAAACAGGUGGAACGAUGUGAUAUGGCACUCUUAUAUGACAGAACAAAGUUUCAAAUACAAUUAAAAUGCCAACAUGAAACAUUAAAGAAUACGUUUAUUUCAGUUGAUGAUGAAGAAAACAUUACCACAGAUAUGACACCAGAAAACAGUUGCAACACCGGAGGAAGAAAUUACUUUAGAAGCACAAGAGAAGAAAGUAAAUGUUAUGAACUAUGUUGAAGGAUCGAGAGUUAAUGAAAAAUUUAUGAGGUCUCAAUUGCAAUUGAAGUAAUUAUAUAAUAUUUAUUGUUCACAAAAAUAAUAUUACAAUAUAUUUUCAUUGCACAUAUAGCGCCGAUGAGUUUGAAACAUACAAAAUUGAAAAAGAAACGUCCAUAACAUUUUGUUUAAAAGAGUUAAGAGCGUUUCUUAUGUUUGCUGAGGCGUUAAAUGAAAGCUUGUGUUUGCAUUUCGAUGAGGCCGGAAGUCCAGUUUUCGUGGGUAUAUCCCAUAGAGAUGAAAUUAAUUGCAUACUUAUCAUGUCUACUUUAUCUCCAGAAGAGGUAAGUUUUUAUGACAAUUGUCAAGAAAGUGAAGUCCAAGAAUGCACAACCUCAAAAUCAAGUAAACGGAAAUUAAAAACCUCGAAGGUACCUAAUCAAUGCAAAAAUAUUAGGAGAGCUAUGGACCAGAAGUUCAUUGCUGAGGACACGACUCUUAGUAACAGUUCAUCUUUAUUUACAUUUGUAAACAGUAGUAGUAAACGGAAUUACACGUCGCUUGUUGCGGUCCCUCGUAAUCAUAAUACAUCUGUCUCGACUUCUAGCCUCAAUGAAAUUAGUCAUUUACUGCCAACAGUAUCUGGGGAAACAAAUAGAAUGCAGAUGUUGGAUAAGAAUGGUGAGCCUGUUGUCAGUAAAGUUAUAGAUAACUCAGAUAACGACGAUUUUAUUCCUGAAUCACCAAAGCGCCAAGGAAGAACUAACUUGCGAUCUAUAUUUUUCCGCUGUUUUCAAUCAACAUAUAUGCUAGAGGAAACUUCGAGUGGCCAAGUAUUUGCACUUGAUUCGGACACAGAAUAAUAUAAUAUAAAUAAAGCUCCAUGUGUAAAAUUUC